CCAGACUCCUACGGGAGGCAGCAGUGGGGGAUAUUGCACAAUGGGGGAAACCCUGAUGCAGCAACGCCGCGUGAGUGAAGAAGGUCUUCGGAUUGUAAAGCUCUGUUCUUGGUGAAGAUAAUGACGGUAGCCAAGGAGAAAGCUCCGGCUAACUACGUGCCAGCAGCCGCGGUAAUACGUAGGGAGCGAGCGUUGUCCGGAUUUACUGGGUGUAAAGGGUGCGCAGGCGGCUCUGCAAGUCAGGCGUGAAAGCUAGGGGCUCAACCCCUAAAUUGCGCUUGAAACUGUGGAGCUUGAGUGAAGUAGAGGCAGGCGGAAUUCCCGGUGUAGCGGUGAAAUGCGUAGAGAUCGGGAGGAACACCAGUGGCGAAGGCGGCCUGCUGGGCUUUAACUGACGCUCAGGCACGAAAGCAUGGGUAGCAAACAGGAUUAGAUACCCUAGUA
Molecule: ribosomal RNA, 444 nt
Filed under: uncultured bacterium
Lineage: Bacteria
Description: bacterial SSU rRNA
Rfam family: Bacterial small subunit ribosomal RNA
Source: RNAcentral